Molecule: transfer RNA, 68 nt
Filed under: Cleroidea sp. 3 KM-2017
Lineage: Eukaryota; Metazoa; Arthropoda; Insecta; Coleoptera
Description: tRNA-Val
Source: RNAcentral
CAAAUUAGAGCUUGUUUAAGUAUUUUAUUUACACUAAAGAGAAAAUUGUGAGAUUCAAUUUAAUUUGA